CAAGGAUGACACAAAGGAGCAGGAGAAAGACUCCUGAACAGGAUGCAAUAGACCAUAUAAUUCUGGGCAGAGACAAACCCUUCCUAGAGGCCAGGUUCAUCAACACGUUUAAAGGACGUGGUGUUUUUACACGGGAAUAUAUUGCACCGUCAACUUUUGUGGUGGAGUACCGUGGAAUAUUGGGUGUAAGUGAAGAUCUAGAUGUCAAAAAUAACAUCUUCUUAUUCGAUUUCAUCUGGUCUGGAAUGCACUUUUGUAUUAAUGCUUCAAAAGAGGAUGGAACACUUGGACGUCUUGCAAAUGAUAAUCACAGGAAUCCAAACUGCAGAGUGAAAAAAAUCGUUGUCAAGGGAACCCC
Long non-coding RNA from Trematomus bernacchii (emerald rockcod), 358 nucleotides. RefSeq lists it as uncharacterized. The record is from RefSeq and is a predicted model, not a curated record. The transcript is spliced from 3 exons. NCBI's taxonomy places the organism in Eukaryota, Metazoa, Chordata, Actinopteri, Perciformes, Nototheniidae.